AGUGAACGCUGGCGGUAGGCCUAACACAUGCAAGUGGAACGGCAGCACAGUAAGAGCUUGCUCUUACGGGUGGCGAGUGGCGGACGGGUGAGGAAUACAUCGGAAUCUACUUUUUCGUGGGGGAUAACGUAGGGAAACUUACGCUAAUACCGCAUACGACCUACGGGUGAAAGCAGGGGAUCUUCGGACCUUGCGCGAUUGAAUGAGCCGAUGUCGGAUUAGCUAGUUGGCGGGGUAAAGGCCCACCAAGGCGACGAUCCGUAGCUGGUCUGAGAGGAUGAUCAGCCACACUGGAACUGAGACACGGUCCAGACUCCUACGGGAGGCAGCAGUGGGGAAUAUUGGACAAUGGGCGAAAGCAUGAUCCAGCCAUACCGCGUGGGUGAAGAAGGCCUUCGGGUUGUAAAGCCCUUUUGUUGGGAAAGAAAAGCAGCAGGUUAAUACCCCGCUGUUCUGACGGUACCCAAAGAAUAAGCACCGGCUAACUUCGUG
Molecule: ribosomal RNA, 492 nt
Filed under: uncultured bacterium
Lineage: Bacteria
Description: partial 16S ribosomal RNA
Rfam family: Bacterial small subunit ribosomal RNA
Source: RNAcentral